Molecule: ribosomal RNA, 443 nt
Filed under: uncultured archaeon
Lineage: Archaea
Description: bacterial SSU rRNA
Rfam family: Archaeal small subunit ribosomal RNA
Source: RNAcentral
GGAAAUCUUCCGGCUUAACCGGAAGGCAUCUCAGGGAUACUGGCAGACUAGGGACCGGAAGAGGUGAGGGGUACUCCAGGGGUAGGAGUGAAAUCCUGUAAUCCUUGGGGGACCACCUGUGGCGAAGGCGCCUCACCAGAACGGCUCCGACAGUGAGGGACGAAAGCUGGGGGAGCAAACCGGAUUAGAUACCCGGGUAGUCCCAGCCGUAAACGAUGUGCGUUAGGUGUAUCGGUGACCACGAGUCACCGAGGUGCCGAAGAGAAAUCGUGAAACGUACCGCCUGGGAAGUACGGUCGCAAGGCUGAAACUUAAAGGAAUUGGCGGGGGAGCACCACAACAGGUGGAGCCUGCGGUUUAAUCGGACUCAACGCCGGGAAUCUCCCCGGAUAAGACAGCUGGAUGAUAGUCGGGCUGAAGACUCUACUUGACUAGCUGAGAGG